AUGCAACCUUUGCUUCAGGAUCAACAAUCAGUCCUCCAUUCCUUACGAAAUCUCGUGCAGCUUCCAUUAACUCUUUAUCAAUAUUUCCCGGCGAGUAACACCGAAGUGCAGGUCCAGAUUUGGUACCACAUACCAAAGCAAAGUGAACAAGAGGUUCAGGGUAUGACAGGGCCACCUGCAAUUACAAACAAGGAAAAAAAGGCGGUGAGAAUUUAUAUCACUGAAAAAUUAGCAUCACUUAAGAACAAGGUUUACGAGUCGACAAGUCGUUCCAAGGUUGAGACUCAUAGACUAAUCGUGACAAGUCUAGACUAUUGCUGGACUAGUCGACAUGGUACUGUAACACACACCUUGCAGUAA
RNAcentral lists this ribosomal RNA (360 nucleotides) under Triticum aestivum (bread wheat). RNAcentral's name for it is "partial small subunit ribosomal RNA". Lineage: Eukaryota; Viridiplantae; Streptophyta; Magnoliopsida; Poales; Poaceae. The record is from RNAcentral.